RNAcentral lists this ribosomal RNA (244 nucleotides) under uncultured bacterium. RNAcentral's name for it is "partial 16S ribosomal RNA". It matches the Rfam family "Bacterial small subunit ribosomal RNA", at positions 335 to 596 of the family's 1533-position model. The record is from RNAcentral.
ACUCCUACGGGAGGCAGCAGUGGGGAAUAUUGGACAAUGGGCGCAAGCCUGAUCCAGCCAUGCCGCGUGAGUGAUGAAGGCCCUAGGGUUGUAAAGCUCUUUCACCGGUGAAGAUAAUGACGGUAACCGGAGAAGAAGCCCCGGCUAACUUCGUGCCAGCAGCCGCGGUAAUACGAAGGGGGCUAGCGUUGUUCGGAUUUACUGGGCGUAAAGCGCACGUAGGCGGACUUUUAAGUCAGGGGUG